RNAcentral lists this ribosomal RNA (336 nucleotides) under Triticum aestivum (bread wheat). RNAcentral's name for it is "partial small subunit ribosomal RNA". The record is from RNAcentral. Lineage: Eukaryota; Viridiplantae; Streptophyta; Magnoliopsida; Poales; Poaceae.
AUGACGUCGGAGCUGCAAUGGAGCACCGCCGCGUGGGGACGUUGGCGUUGCAAUGGGAGCUGUGACGGCGAUGUCGACGCUGCAAUGGAGCACCGCCGCUUCGAGACACCGACGCUACGAUGGGAGCAUCGGCGUGCUGCGAUGGAGCUUCGCCAGGGGCGCAGGUGUUGCGAUGAAGCUCCGUCGAGGUCGUUCAUUGCUGCAAUGGAGCUUCGUUGGGGGCCCACCUGUGCUGCAAUGGGCUUCGCCGGGGCCGCCGAGGUUGCAAUGAAGCUUCAUCGAGCGGUCGGUGUUUCAAUGGAGCGCCGCCGUGCCGCUGUUUUAUCAUUGCAGUGA